This 539-nucleotide ribosomal RNA is filed under the name Trigonopterus sp. 1100 AR-2022a. RNAcentral's name for it is "partial large subunit ribosomal RNA". It matches the Rfam family "Bacterial large subunit ribosomal RNA", at positions 1819 to 2625 of the family's 2925-position model. Lineage: Eukaryota; Metazoa; Arthropoda; Insecta; Coleoptera; Curculionidae. The record is from RNAcentral.
GGCUUGUUGAUUAUAAUUUCAGGUCUGACCUGCCCAAUGAGUAGUAUUAAAUGGCCGCAGUAUCUUGACUGUGCAAAGGUAGCAUAAUCAUUAGUUUUUUAAUUGAAAACUGGAAUGAAAGGUUUGAUGAGAAAAUUUCUGUCUCUGGGAAAAUUUAUUAGAAUUUUAUUUUUAAGUAAAAAAGCUUAAAUUUGUAUGGAAGACGAGAAGACCCUAUAGAGUUUUAUAUUUACAAAAAUCUUGGUUAUUAGGAAGUACAGGAGUCAGGAUUUAUAUAAGUAUUUUGUUGGGGUGAUAGAAAAAUUAAACUAACUUUUUUUCUAAGGGCUACAUUAAUGUAUGAUUGGAUGAUCUUAAAAUUUAGAUUAUAAGAUAAAAUUACCUUAGGGAUAACAGCGUAAUUUUUUUAAGAGUUCUUAUCGGAAAAAAAGAUUGCGACCUCGAUGUUGGAUUAAAAUUAAUUACUGGUGUAGAAGCUAGAUAAUUAGGUCUGUUCGACCUUUAAAAUUUUACAUGAUCUGAGUUUAAACCGGCGUGAG